GAUCCUGGCUCAGGAUGAACGCUAGCGGCAGGCUUAACACAUGCAAGUCGAGGGGCAGCGCGGGAUAGCAAUAUCCUGGCGGCGACCGGCGGAAGGGUGCGUAACGCGUGAGCGACAUGCCCGUUGCCCGGGGACAACCGGUGGAAACGCCGACUAAUCCCCGAUGGGAUAUUGUGCCGCAUGGCACGAUAUUGGAAGUUACGGCGGCGACGGAUUGGCUCGUGUCCGAUUAGCUUGUUGG
Molecule: ribosomal RNA, 241 nt
Filed under: uncultured bacterium
Lineage: Bacteria
Description: partial 16S ribosomal RNA
Rfam family: Bacterial small subunit ribosomal RNA
Source: RNAcentral